This 1188-nucleotide ribosomal RNA is filed under the name metagenome. Its description in RNAcentral is "bacterial SSU rRNA". It matches the Rfam family "Bacterial small subunit ribosomal RNA", at positions 323 to 1520 of the family's 1533-position model. The record is from RNAcentral.
GACACGGCCCACACACCUACGGGUGGCAGCAGUUGGGAAUCUUGCACAAUGGGGGAAACCCUGAUGCAGCGACGCCGCGUGGAGGAUGAAGGGUCUAGGCCUGUAAACUCCUUUUAUGGGGAAAGACUUAGGACGGUACCCCAUGAAUAAGGACCGGCUAACUACGUGCCAGCAGCCGCGGUAAGACGUAGGGUCCAAGCGUUAUCCGGAUUUACUGGGCGUAAAGCGCGCGUAGGCGGUCUGUUAAGUGCACAAGCGAAAGCUCCGGGCUCAACUCGGAAAUUGCUUUGCAUACUGGCAGGCUGGAGGGACGCAGAGGUCUGUGGAAUUCCUGGUGUAACGGUGAAAUGUGUUGAUAUCAGGAGGAACACCCAUGGCGAAGGCAGCAGACUGGGCGUUUCCUGACGCUGAGGCGCGAAAGCGUGGGUAGCAAACAGGAUUAGAUACCCUGGUAGUCCACGCCCUAAACGAUGGAUACUAGGCGUAGGAGGUAUCGACCCCUCCUGUGCCGCAGCAAACGCAUUAAGUAUCCCGCCUGGGGAGUACGGCCGCAAGGUUGAAACUCAAAUGAAUUGACGGGGACCCGCACAAGCGGUGGAGCAUGUGGAUUAAUUCGAUACUAACCGAAGAACCUUACCCACUCUUGACAUUGAAGGAAAGCUCUAGAGAUAGAGCCCUCUCUCACAAGGAGACCUGAAAACAGAUGUUGCAUGGCUGUCGUCAGCUCGUGCCGUGAGGUGUACGGUUAAGUCCGCCAACGAGCGCAACCCUCGUUCUGUGUUACCAGCGAGUAAUGUCGGGCACUCACAGGAGACCGCCGGUGUAAGCCGGAGGAAGGUGGGGAUGAUGUCAAGUCAGCAUGGCUCUUACGAGUGGGGCUUCACACAUGCUACAAUGGGCGCAACAAAGGGCAGCGAUACCGCGAGGUGGAGCAAAUCCCAAAAAUACGUCCUCAGUUCAGAUUGCAGUCUGCAACUCGACUGCAUGAAGGCGGAAUCGCUAGUAAACGCAGGUCAGCUAUACUGCGUUGAAUACGUUCCCGGGUCUUGUACACACCGCCCGUCAAGUCACUUGAAUUGUCUUCACCCGAAGUCCGUUGCCUAACCCGCAAGGGAAGGAGCGGCCGAAGGUGAGGGGGGUAAGAGGGACUAAGUCGUAACAAGGUACCCGUACCGGAAGGUGUGGGUG